This is a long non-coding RNA of Carya illinoinensis, 979 nucleotides long. RefSeq lists it as uncharacterized. The record is from RefSeq and is a predicted model, not a curated record. The transcript is spliced from 2 exons. NCBI's taxonomy places the organism in Eukaryota, Viridiplantae, Streptophyta, Magnoliopsida, Fagales, Juglandaceae.
UCUCUCUCUCUCUCUAACGGCAAUUUCGAAAAUUGGAAAUUCAUUUCGUAAAUAUUCGCUGCUACACCUAUAAUUCCUACUUGCCUUAGACAGAUUCUGAAGACGAGUCGUUCCACUGUUUUCUUCCACCAGAGAGAUUCAAAUCAGAACCGAGCUUUAGCUCGCAAGAGAAUCUGGCAGUGGAUGCAGACCAAAGUUUUGAUCACAAGGAUAGCGGUGCAGCUGGCACUCCGUUGUUACAAGCCUAAAGUAUAAAGAGAAUGCCUCCUCUAGCUCAGGAGCUUUUACUUGAGAUGAAAUCUUUCUGCCUAGUAGCUCCACGCUGUCGGCUUUGAUGCUCUGCCAUACAGGUAAUAGUAAUGGAUUCCUUCUUAUGCAGGAGGAGAAAUUUUGGAGGAAAUAAUAACUGUUUCUUUUUUGCCAAGUAUUCGUAUUGUUACAGAGCUAUUUGAUGACUAUGGGAGGAUGGGGAAUUUGACGAAGAACCCAACAAGGAUCUUAACCAUUUACAUGAAGUUACUCACUGGCUUUCUCUUGAAAUGGGAAAGGAGUGUAAGGGAUAAAUAUAGCAGGCCAAGAUGGAGGGCCCAGUCCACUAGAUGGCAAGGACAAAAGCAAGAAAGGAAGAGAGAGUAAGGAAGAGACAAGGAGGGGACAAGAUAAUAGGAGAAGUGAGACAUGCAAGAGAAAAAUGACUGGAAAAAGGAUAAAAGAGAGGAAGGGGGAGUUAGACAAGCAAACGGGGACAGUGAGGUCACGUAAGGCUGAUAUUCUCUACUUCCAAGGCCUGUAAAAAGGGAUCUGAGAUCUGAGAGGGGGAUCGGCUUCUUCUUCAACAAUAGGAGGCGAGAUGCCAUUUUUAUCUGCUCUUUGCUAAAGGGGUCCCGACCCCAUUGUAUUGCAAGACAUGAGAGAGAAACCAUGAGAGGCUGUAAAUUACUUAUUUCAUAGUGGAUUUACCCUCCAAACAACUUGUGGA